This 191-nucleotide unclassified non-coding RNA is filed under the name fungal sp. Its description in RNAcentral is "partial internal transcribed spacer region". The stretch from base 1 to 46 matches the Rfam family "Eukaryotic small subunit ribosomal RNA", at positions 1786 to 1831 of the family's 1831-position model. The record is from RNAcentral. Lineage: Eukaryota; Fungi.
AAGUCGUAACAAGGUUUCCGUAGGUGAACCUGCGGAAGGAUCAUUAAUGAUGUUUAUUUUUCUAUGUUGGGAAAUUGUCUGCUGAUGUGGGGAUAUUUUUGUCCCCGCGCUAGUCAACGUGAUCUUUAUUCUAGUCUGACUUUUAUAUUUAAUUUAAAAGACAACUUUUAGCAACGGAUCUCUUGGCUCUC